GUGAGUGUUUCGACAGCACACACAUUGAAGAGUUGGCAUGACAGAUUAGUGUGGCCCCUGUGCAAGGAUGAUACACAGACUCAUGAUGAAUUCCAUUAAAAC
This 102-nucleotide small nuclear RNA is filed under the name Erinaceus europaeus (western European hedgehog). The record is from RNAcentral. Lineage: Eukaryota; Metazoa; Chordata; Mammalia; Eulipotyphla; Erinaceidae.